This 245-nucleotide ribosomal RNA is filed under the name uncultured Atopostipes sp. Its description in RNAcentral is "partial 16S ribosomal RNA". It matches the Rfam family "Bacterial small subunit ribosomal RNA", at positions 524 to 768 of the family's 1533-position model. Lineage: Bacteria; Bacillati; Bacillota; Bacilli; Lactobacillales; Carnobacteriaceae. The record is from RNAcentral.
UACGUAGGUGACAAGCGUUGUCCGGAAUUAUUGGGCGUAAAGGGAGCGCAGGCGGUUGGAAUAGUCUGAUGUGAAAGCCCACGGCUUAACCGUGGAAGGUCAUUGGAAACUGUCCAACUUGAAUGCAGAAGAGGUAAGUGGAAUUCCAUGUGUAGCGGUGAAAUGCGUAGAUAUAUGGAGGAACACCAGUGGCGAAGGCGACUUACUGGUCUGUAAUUGACGCUGAGGCUCGAAAGCGUGGGUAG